CGCGACGCACCGCGCUCCCCGCCGAGCCAAUGGUUGCCCUGUCCGCGCGCGGCCACCUGACCUAGGGCGCCGUUGUUAUUAGGAGCGGCGAGGCGGGAGGCGCGGGGCAGCGGGGCUGGGCUCCGGCCGGGAGUCAGACGAGGGAGCGCGCGCGCGCUCCCGGACAGUUCUCCGCAGCCGCUCGCCCGAGCCUUCUACUUGGCCAACACAGCUGCCUCUACCACCUCGCGUGCCCGGUUCGUGGGCUUUCAGGUAGGAGGCGGCGCGCGGCGGGUCGGGAGUGCAGCAUCGCGCCGACCGAGGGGCGCGGCGUGGAUGUGGGGGGCGGGCAGGAGCGCCCCCCCGUGGACACGAGCGCGCGGGGCAGCGACAGCGGCUGGAUGGUUAAGGGCACGUACGUGCGGGGCGGGGCCUGCGUGGGGCUCUGGGCGCACGUGUCGCGGGAAAUGGAGUGGACACCGGGGGCUUCAGGGGAAGACAUCCAAACGACUGGGAGUCACGCGUGGACUCUUUCGCGCGAGGGUAGGUGUGCAGACCGGCCAGGCGAGCCUCGCGUCCGGACAUCGCAAGCGCUGGCAGUUUCCUUCUUGGUUCUUGGGAUGGUGUUUUGCUUCUGCGCCCGCGCUGGUAGGAGCUUUGCGCCCUACCCGCCUACCUCGUGCACUUGUCCACGGUAGAUUUAAACCACACACGAAUUCGAAAAACAAAGUGAAACUACAUCCACGCCCAGUGGGAGAUGAGUUACCAAGCAUGUCCUGAAGAUGAAGAUACUCUCAGCCUAACGUCUCCAAGCAAAUAUUGAUUCAGCAGUAUCCCCAGGUAGGUGCUUUUUGCUUAAAAGGGGCUUUCCUGUUAGCCCUUGGCAUUUAUUGUGCUUAGAAGCUGGCAAGACACAUAGAUCUAAACCCACAGGAGCCUUCAGAGCAACUGUUGGUACCGCCCUCUGCUAGGCAGGAAAGAAGGAGCCAGAGAGGAUCCACCAAGGUCACCCUGCCAGUGAGCAUCAAAGGCAAUUCUAGUCCACAUAGUUACCAUGACAUUACAGGAUGUUUAUCUAGAACUUAAGCCCCAAAUACUAUGCUUAAGUUCUAGACCACACAUGUGUGCACACACACAAGCACACGCGCGCACACAUACAAACACAAUGUCCAUUUCUCCCGAAAUCCUGAACACUUUUCUAACUUCAAAGGGUAGCAACCUAGACGUGCUGAUAACCCACCUUGGCCUCUGCCGUGGGAUUCUGCCAAGCAGCCCACUUGGACGUCACCCUUAAUUUAAGCCAGCGUGAUGGAUUGUGAUGUGGUCUUUCUUAACUGUAUUAUUACUCCUGCUUCAUUCCCUGAGCACAGAAUGAGGGAUUCUCUCUACUACGCCUGGGAUGCAUCCUCCUUGCUGGGUAUAACUGGCCUAUUUGCUCAGUAAAAGCAGUGGGGAAACAAGUGUCCUUGAAGCCCAGACAUAGCAGAAUUCCUAGCUGCCCUCCACCCCUGAGUCUGCAGACCCAGGUCCCCCAGACCUGCUCACUUUACUCUUAUACCCUGCUAUGCUGCAGUGUAAACUGCCUUCCUGUCUCAACUGCAGAAGCCCUCCUCUGGCUGUAUGUGGCACAGUGUCUUUUGCCAAGGCCGGUGCUCCACCCAGACCCCUGGAAUCUAGUUGCAGGGCAUUCACCAUGUUUACUGGCAUCCUAGGUGUGUGUGGGCUCUGCAGCUUGCCUUCAACAAGUCCCCAGCUGCUCUUUUUCUCCUCUCAUAUGAUG
Long non-coding RNA from Mus spicilegus (steppe mouse), 1759 nucleotides. NCBI's taxonomy places the organism in Eukaryota, Metazoa, Chordata, Mammalia, Rodentia, Muridae. The record is from Ensembl.